ACUGUAGAAUCCAAACACUUAAAUUCGCAUUUGAUUGUUAAUUAUAACCAGAUUUACCACUAACUCAAAAAUUCAUCUUUGUCUUCGCUAGCAAAUCAAUUUCUUCACUGCUUAGCUCUAACUAAGGUUACUACAUGACCCGCGGAUCGACACCUUUGACAUGCCGACAGUUCAAGUAGGGACACCGUGAUUUGAUCCAUGCCGAAACCUUCAAAAAUCAUCUGGACAGAAAAAACUUCGUCACUUCGUCAGAAAGUUGAAUUCAGCAGCGAUCAUUUGAGCAGAUUUGCUUCAAAAAGUUUCUGAAUCAACACUUUAAGAUUUUGAGAUCUAGUGAUUUUGUGGCAAAAAAGAUGCUCUACAAAA
This is a long non-coding RNA of Symsagittifera roscoffensis, 366 nucleotides long. RefSeq lists it as uncharacterized. The record is from RefSeq and is a predicted model, not a curated record. The transcript is spliced from 3 exons. Lineage: Eukaryota; Metazoa; Xenacoelomorpha; Acoela; Convolutidae.